RNAcentral lists this ribosomal RNA (460 nucleotides) under uncultured bacterium. Its description in RNAcentral is "partial 16S ribosomal RNA". It matches the Rfam family "Bacterial small subunit ribosomal RNA", at positions 338 to 795 of the family's 1533-position model. The record is from RNAcentral.
CCUACGGGUGGCAGCAGUGAGGAAUAUUGGUCAAUGGGCGCGAGCCUGAACCAGCCAAGUAGCGUGCAGGAUGACUGCCCUACGGGUUGUAAACUUCUUUUAUAAAGGAAUAAAGUGAGGCACGUGAGCCUUUUUGUAUGUACUUUAUGAAUAAGGAUAGCGUAACUCCGUGCCAGCAGCCGCGGUAAUACGGAGGAUCCGAGCGUGAUCUGGAUUUAUUGGGUUUAAAGGGAGCGUAGAUGGGUGUUUAAGUCAGUUGUGAAAGUUUGCGGCUCAACCGUAAAAUUGCAAUUGAUACUGGCAGCCUUGAGUACAGUUGAGGUAGGCGGAAUUCGUGGUGUAGCGGUGAAAUGCUUAGAGAUCACGAAGAACUCCGAUUGCGAAGGCAGCUUACUAAACUGCCACUGACAUUGAUGCUCGAAAGUGUGGGUAUCAAACAGGAUUAGAUACCCUGGUAGUC